UCGAGCGAUGAAGCCCAGCUUGCUGGGUGGAUUAGUGGCGAACGGGUGAGUAACACGUGAGUAACCUGCCCUUAACUCUGGGAUAAGCCUGGGAAACUGGGUCUAAUAGCGGAUAGGAGCGCCUACCGCAUGGUGGGUGUUGGAAAGAUUUAUCGGUUUUGGAUGGACUCGCGGCCUAUCAGCUUGUUGGUGAGGUAAUGGCUCACCAACGCGACGACGGGUAGCCGGCCUGAUAGGGUGACCGGCCACACUGGGACUGAAACACGGCCCAGACUCCUACGGGAGGCAACACUGGGGAAUAUUGCACAAUGGGCGAAAGCCUGAUGCACGACGCCGCGUGAGGGAUGACGGCCUUCCGGUUGUAAACCUCUUUCNNUAGGGAAGAAGCGAAAGUGACGGUACCUGCANAGAAGCACCNNCUAACUNCGUG
Molecule: ribosomal RNA, 430 nt
Filed under: Micrococcus luteus
Lineage: Bacteria; Bacillati; Actinomycetota; Actinomycetes; Micrococcales; Micrococcaceae
Description: bacterial SSU rRNA
Rfam family: Bacterial small subunit ribosomal RNA
Source: RNAcentral